GACGAACGCUGGCGGCGUGCUUAACACAUGCAAGUCGAACGGAAAGGCCCCUUUGGGGGUACUCGAGUGGCGAACGGGUGAGUAACACGUGAGUAACCUGCCCUUGACUUCGGGAUAACUUCAGGAAACUGGGGCUAAUACCGGAUAGGAAUCCUUGCUGCAUGGUGGGGGUUGGAAAGCUUCGGCGGUUUUGGAUGGACUCGCGGCUAAUCGGCUUGUUGGUGGGGUAGUGGCUUACCAAGGCUUUGACGGGUAGCCGGCCUGGGAGGGCGACCGGCCACAUGGGGACUGAGAGAGGGCCCAGUGUCCAACGGGGGGCAACGGGGGGAAAUAUGGCACAAGGGGGGGAAGCCGGUGGAGAAAACCCCCGGGGCGGGAAGACGGCUUUCGGGGUGAAAACCGCUUUCGGCGGGGGCGAAGCUGGUGGGACGGGACCCAGAGAAAAAGGACCGGCUAACUUCGUG
Molecule: ribosomal RNA, 464 nt
Filed under: uncultured bacterium
Lineage: Bacteria
Description: partial 16S ribosomal RNA
Rfam family: Bacterial small subunit ribosomal RNA
Source: RNAcentral